Molecule: long non-coding RNA, 1012 nt
Filed under: Brassica rapa (field mustard)
Lineage: Eukaryota; Viridiplantae; Streptophyta; Magnoliopsida; Brassicales; Brassicaceae
Description: long non-coding RNA (BRAP_LNC004887)
Source: RNAcentral
UUUGCUUGUGUUCUCUUAAUUCUAUAUUUUAGUUUUGUUUAUAUUCCAUCAUUUCAUUUUUUACUCACUAUGUUUAUUGUGUGUUUCUGAAUAUUAGGAGAUUAAGAUUACAUAUAUAGUUUAUCAUGAUUCCUCUAUUAGUUCUAUGAGUGAGAGUUGUGUUUAGUAAGAUCAAGUGAUUACUUUCAUGAUUUUAUUUUUUUCUUCUUGUAAUUUAAUUGGCUGAUCAAGUGUCUUUAUAUGUCAUGGUUAAUUUCAUUUCUAUCUUUUUGCUAAUCUCAUGAGUUUAUCCAUAAUAUUCUUUGUUGUUUGCUUAAGAUUUGUAUGUGUUAACCAUUAUGGUAUUUACUGUAAAAUAUUUACGAAGGUAUUCCAAAAUACUUUGCUCAUGAUUUUGUUCUUGUUUGUGUAAAUCCAUAUGUCUUUAAACUUGUUUAUUGUCUCAGUUGAUUGAUGAUGUAUCUUUCUAAUUUUUUUUUUUUUCAUGUUGUGUCUUCGAAGCUGCAUUGGACAUAACGAGCAAUCUAUCUUAUGAGAUCUUCAAUUAGUGUAUGGAUAAAAGGUUUAAGAAAAGAGAAAGAUGAAUAUUUGUAAUAAAUUAUGUUUAUCUAAGACUCUAUGUUUUAAACUUUUUUAUGAAUGUUACUUGGACAAGUACUAUAAUUUUUCUAAGAACUGAAGACUAUAACGAAUGAUGAAGAGAUUUGUUUUAUUUAUGUUGGUUAUUGAACAUUUCCAGGAAGGUAAUAAUGAAAGUCGGAAUAUGGUUUGAUUGUAAUAUGAUAGUAUAUGACAUGUUUAUAAUGUAUAUCCAAAACAAAAUAUGAGAGUCUUUCAUGCAAAAUCUCAACUAAAAAUAUGAAAUGAGAUUUAAAAAAAUUAACUAUUUGAUAUCUAAAUCGGUAAGUUUCAAAUUGUAUUAUAUAAUUUUUAGGAAUUUGCUUUCAGAAAAGUUUUAUAAGACUAAGGAAACGAUGCCGAGUACUCUUGGAAAUGGUAUCAUAGUUUUCAC